This 500-nucleotide ribosomal RNA is filed under the name uncultured bacterium. RNAcentral's name for it is "bacterial SSU rRNA". It matches the Rfam family "Bacterial small subunit ribosomal RNA", at positions 32 to 528 of the family's 1533-position model. The record is from RNAcentral.
AAUCAACGCUGGCGGCGUGCCUAACACAUGCAAGUCGAACGAGAAAGUGGGGGCAACCCUGCGAGUACAGUGGCAGACGGGUGAGUAACACGUGAACAACCUACCCUCGAGUGGGGAAUAACACCGCGAAAGCGGUGCUAAUACCGCAUAAAAUCUUUUUAUCGCAUGAUGAGGAGAUCAAAAGCGCAAGUUGCUUGAGGAGGGGUUCGCGGCUGAUUAGCUAGUUGGUGAGGUAACGGCCCACCAAGGCAACGAUCAGUAGCCGGCCUGAGAGGGCGGACGGCCACACUGGAACUGAGACACGGUCCAGACUCCUACGGGAGGCAGCAGUGGGGAAUUUUGCGCAAUGGACGAAAGUCUGACGCAGCAACGCCGCGUGGAGGAUGAAGGCCUUCGGGUCGUAAACUCCUGUCGAUGGGGACGAAAACCUCGCGAGAGGUCUGACUGUACCCGUUGAGGAAGCCACGGCUAACUCCGUGCCAGCAGCCGCGGUAAUACGG